GCUACGGGUGGCUGCAGUGGGGAAUAUUGGGCAAUGGGCGCAAGCCUGACCCAGCAACGCCGCGUGAAGGAAGAAGGCCCUCGGGUUGUAAACUUCUUUUAACAGGGACGAAGAAAGUGACGGUACCUGAAGAAAAAGCUCCGGCUAACUACGUGCCAGCAGCCGCGGUAAUACGUAGGGAGCGAGCGUUGUCCGGAAUUACUGGGUGUAAAGGGAGCGUAGGCGGGACGGCAAGUCAGAUGUGAAAACUGAGGGCUCAACUUUCAGACUGCAUUUGAAACUGCUGUUGUUGAGUGAAGUAGAGGGAAGCGGAAUGCCUAGUGUAGCGGUGAAAUGCGUAGAUAGUAGGAGGAACAUCGGUGGCGAAGGCGGCUUACUGGGCUUUUACUGACGCUGAGGCUCGAAAGCGUGGGGAGCAAACAGGAUUAGAUACCCCAGUAGUC
RNAcentral lists this ribosomal RNA (443 nucleotides) under uncultured bacterium. RNAcentral's name for it is "partial 16S ribosomal RNA". It matches the Rfam family "Bacterial small subunit ribosomal RNA", at positions 338 to 795 of the family's 1533-position model. The record is from RNAcentral.